UGAGGAAUAUUGGUCAAUGGACGGGAGUCUGAACCAGCCAAGUAGCGUGCAGGAUGACGGCCCUAUGGGUUGUAAACUGCUUUUGUGCGGGGAUAAAGUGUGGGACGUGUCCCAUAUUGCAGGUACCGCAUGAAUAAGGACCGGCUAAUUCCGUGCCAGCAGCCGCGGUAAUACGGAAGGUCCGGGCGUUAUCCGGAUUUAUUGGGUUUAAAGGGAGCGUAGGCCGGAGAUUAAGCGUGUUGUGAAAUGCCGCGGCUCAACCGUGGCACUGCAGCGCGAACUGGUUUUCUUGAGUGCGCGCGACGCAGGCGGAAUUCGUGGUGUAGCGGUGAAAUGCUCAGAUAUCAUGAAGAACUCCGAUCGCGAAGGCAGGCAUCCGGGGUGUUACUGACGCUGAGGCUCGAAAGUGCGGGUA
Molecule: ribosomal RNA, 415 nt
Filed under: uncultured Prevotella sp.
Lineage: Bacteria; Pseudomonadati; Bacteroidota; Bacteroidia; Bacteroidales; Prevotellaceae
Description: bacterial SSU rRNA
Rfam family: Bacterial small subunit ribosomal RNA
Source: RNAcentral